GUCCUUUAGAAUAUAUAAUUUAAGGUCUGACCUGCCCACUGAGAAAUUUAAAGGCCGCAGUAAUUUGACUGUGCAAAGGUAGCAUAAUCAUUAGUUUUUUAAUUAAAAGCUUGUAUGAAUGGUUGGACGAGAUAAAAUCUGUCUCUGAAUAAUAAAUAGAAUUUAAUUUUUAAGUUAAAAAGCUUAAAUUAAUAUAAAAGACGAGAAGACCCUAUAGAUCUUAAUAUAAAAUUUUAAAGUUUUAUUUAAGAUUAUUUUAUUAAUUUUAUUAUUUUAUAUUUUAUUGGGGUAAUAAAAAGAUUGAAUUAAUUCUUUUUCAUAUUUAACAAUAAUAAUUGAUUAUUUGAUCCAUUAAUAGUGAUUAUAAGAUUAAGUUACCUUAGGGAUAACAGCGUAAUUUUUUUAGAGAGUUCAUAUCGAUAAAAAAGUUUGCGACCUCGAUGUUGGAUUAAAAAUUAUUUUGGGUGUAGAAGUUCAAAAUUUUGGUCUGUUCGACCAUUAAAUUUUUACAUGAUCUGAGUUCAGACCGGCGUAAGCCAGGUCGGUUUCUAUCUUUAUUUUAUUUAUAUAUUUUAGUACGAAAGGACCAAAUAUUUAAUAUAUUAAUAUUUUUGUUUUGAUUAA
RNAcentral lists this ribosomal RNA (624 nucleotides) under Deronectes doriae. Its description in RNAcentral is "partial 16S ribosomal RNA". It matches the Rfam family "Bacterial large subunit ribosomal RNA", at positions 1825 to 2733 of the family's 2925-position model. The record is from RNAcentral. Lineage: Eukaryota; Metazoa; Arthropoda; Insecta; Coleoptera; Dytiscidae.